Non-coding RNA from Triticum aestivum (bread wheat), 134 nucleotides. The record is from Rfam. NCBI's taxonomy places the organism in Eukaryota, Viridiplantae, Streptophyta, Magnoliopsida, Poales, Poaceae.
UUAGUACUCCCUCCGUCCUAAAUUUUUAUUUUAGAUUUGUCCAAAUACGAAUGUAUGAAAUCACAUUCUAGUAUUAGAUACAUCUGUAUCUAGACAAAUUUAAAACAAGAAUUUUAGGACGGAAAAAGUAAAAG